GCGGGGCUACCCGCUGAGUUUAAGCAUA
Molecule: ribosomal RNA, 28 nt
Filed under: Tripodanthus acutifolius
Lineage: Eukaryota; Viridiplantae; Streptophyta; Magnoliopsida; Santalales; Loranthaceae
Description: partial 28S ribosomal RNA
Source: RNAcentral